Molecule: non-coding RNA, 48 nt
Filed under: Schistosoma haematobium
Lineage: Eukaryota; Metazoa; Platyhelminthes; Trematoda; Strigeidida; Schistosomatidae
Source: RNAcentral
AUCCAGUUGACCAGUCCGAAAUAAGACGAAAUGCACGUCAAACUGGAU